This 22-nucleotide microRNA is filed under the name Dasypus novemcinctus (nine-banded armadillo). RNAcentral also lists the same sequence under 5 other names. The record is from RNAcentral. Lineage: Eukaryota; Metazoa; Chordata; Mammalia; Cingulata; Dasypodidae.
GAAGUUGCCCGUGUUUUUUUCG